CCUACGGGAGGCAGCAGUGAGGAAUAUUGGUCAAUGGGCGGGAGCCUGAACCAGCCAAGUCGCGUGAGGGACGACGGUCUUCUGGAUUGUAAACCCUUUCUGUCGGGGAACAAAGGCGCCCACGGGUGGGCUGAUGAGUGUACCCGAAGAAAAAGCAUCGGCCAACACCGUGCCAGCAGCCGCGGUAAUACGGAGGAUGCGAGCGUUAUCCGGAUUUAUUGGGUUUAAAGGGUGCGUAGGCGGACAGUCAAGUCAGCGGGAAAAAUGCGGUGCGAAACGCCGUACAGCCGUUGAAACUGGCAGUCUUGAGUGGGCGAGAAGUAUGCGGAAUGCGUGGUGUAGCGGUGAAAUGCAUAGAUAUCACGCAGAACUCCGAUUGCGAAGGCAGCAUACCGGCGCCCGACUGACGCUGAGGCACGAAAGCGUGGGUAUCGAACAGGAUUAGAUACCCUAGUAGUC
This 459-nucleotide ribosomal RNA is filed under the name uncultured bacterium. RNAcentral's name for it is "partial 16S ribosomal RNA". It matches the Rfam family "Bacterial small subunit ribosomal RNA", at positions 338 to 795 of the family's 1533-position model. The record is from RNAcentral.